This 1814-nucleotide long non-coding RNA is filed under the name Rattus norvegicus (Norway rat). RNAcentral describes it as "long non-coding RNA NONRATT018062". The record is from RNAcentral. Lineage: Eukaryota; Metazoa; Chordata; Mammalia; Rodentia; Muridae.
AUAAAUGAAAAGAAUUCCUAAGGCCAUUCCACAUACAGCCUAGAAAGGGGUUAUAUUACCCAUCAAAAUGUGUAUUAUAUUUGUCACUUGUCAUGUCCUUUGUUUAAGCUUGUUGAACAUGUACUCUGAGAGAAAGGGUUCUCCUGCCCCAUACUGUAGUGUGAUGGUUUGAAUGAGAAUGGUCCCCAUAGGCUCACAAAUGAAUACCUGGUCCCCAGUUGGUGGAAUUGUUUGCACAGAAAAGUAUUAUCUGUGGCCUCGCUAGAGGAGUUAUGUCACUGGGGUUGGGCUUUGAGGCUUCAAAAGCCCACGCUGUUACCAGUUAGGUUCCUCUGGCUCAUGCUCUCAGCUACCAUUCCAGUACCUGUCUAUCUGCCUGCUGCUGUGCUCCUGGCCAGGAUCAAGGACUCUGGACCCAUAAGCCCCAAAUUAAAUGCAUCUUAUGCUGUUUUGCCAUGGCAUCUUAGCAAUAGAAAAGUGACUAAGACACCCAGCACAUUUAUUUUAAGUGUCCUCAAAGGCACCUUUUACAAGAACAAGUUGGCCCUCUGGCUCUAUAACAGAGAAGAAAAAAACAAAAAACAAAAAAGCAAGCUAAUAAGAGUGUUUAAAAGACUGUGUCCUUCAGAAUACCUAGAAGGUAAGUGAUUUCCAAGCAGACUUAUUACUGUUUAUAAUAUAAAAACGCCUGCAGUGGGAAUGGGAAAGUAGAAGUUCAGCCAGAGAAGCUUAUUCAAGGGAAAAACCUCAACUGGAAAACAGAUGAUUGUCUCACUUCCCAGUCAGUUUCUGAGGGAUGCUGUUAGCACCCGAUUUGAUGUCAUCUGCUAUCACUUGCUCAGAAGCCUCACUCUACAGGACUCUUUUAAUUGGGAAAGCCAGAUGGCUGUCAAGGGGCUUCUCCAGGUGAUUUCUGCUGGAAGUUUGUAAGCCCCUAUUUGAUAAUGCAGUCUUAUGUUUGCUCUCCCAGUCAGGCUGCUCCAUUAAUGCUAGAUGUCCAAAGUGCUAAACUGGAUGGUGUUUUGCUAUCUGUAGCUUUGUACUACUGCUUGCUAUUUGUUCCCUAACUUUUUGCUUACUGUAGACUUAAUAAACUCACUCAAAACGGAAAGCACUGCUAUGAUAGAUCACUCUUCUGUCUGUCGCACAGUCACUUCAACAUCUUAGUGUAAAAAAACAUCCAGCUGGUAGCACUGGGGAGAGUGGGCCCUGUGCUUCAACCGGGCAGCACAGUGGUGCUGGCUCUGGAGACUUGGGUGCAGGUAAGCCAGUCCUGAGUGCAUGAGAGCAAGAGAGCUGACUCUGUUUCCAGCUUCUAGGCUGGCUUAUCUGGAGCAGUGCUGGAGAGCCUAGUGCUGCAGGUGGGGGAGCCGACAAGCUGAGCAGCUCAGCUUCCACCCAGGCCUGGAUCCAGGGCUCUGAGUUGGCCCACCCCAACAUCUACAUCAUUUGUGAAUUGUUGUUGCACCUGAAAGGCUGGUUUUGCUGAUCUAAAGCUACAGGAUCGCCAUGAUACAGGGCAACAACAGGAUAACAGGAGGAGUCCCAUCAGGACAGAAGUCAGAGACCUUGAACCAGACCAAAGAUUGCAAUGAGCAUUUACAAGUGAAGAUGUGUGUCAGAGGGAUACACUGUGGGACUCACUGUGACAAGCUACAGCUUCCAUGACAAGAUGUCUAUGCUUUGUGUGUGAGAGACUGUCUUGUGGAGAGGUUGCAAGGGCAGAAGCUGGGUUCAAAGGGAUGGAGAUGAGUGGGACAGGUGAAUGAUGUGAAGCAAUCAAUAAAGGUUUAAACAACAAAAUAGAAAAACCU